AAGGCUUCAGCUUUCUUAGAGACUUUUGCUUGCACAUUUUCCAAUGUGUUUGGCGAUCUUUAACUGAAGCCGAGAUGUGCAUUCCCCUCGCUAUCCAAUGUGGCAAUUUGAUGCUGUAAUUGGACGUCGGGGAAUAAAAUGU
Small nucleolar RNA from Vigna unguiculata (cowpea), 142 nucleotides. RefSeq annotates it as small nucleolar RNA snoR136. The record is from RefSeq and is a predicted model, not a curated record. NCBI's taxonomy places the organism in Eukaryota, Viridiplantae, Streptophyta, Magnoliopsida, Fabales, Fabaceae.